This 160-nucleotide ribosomal RNA is filed under the name uncultured bacterium. Its description in RNAcentral is "partial 16S ribosomal RNA". It matches the Rfam family "Bacterial small subunit ribosomal RNA", at positions 355 to 507 of the family's 1533-position model. The record is from RNAcentral.
UGGGGAAUUUUGGACAAUGGGGGCAACCCUGAUCCAGCCAUUCCGCGUGAGUGAAGAAGGCCUUCGGGUUGUAAAGCUCUUUCGCAAGGGAAGAAACGAUACAGACGAAUAAUCUGUGUUAAUGACGGUACCUUGAUAAGAAGCACCGGCUAACUACGUG